This 803-nucleotide ribosomal RNA is filed under the name uncultured bacterium. RNAcentral describes it as "bacterial SSU rRNA". It matches the Rfam family "Bacterial small subunit ribosomal RNA", at positions 554 to 1357 of the family's 1533-position model. The record is from RNAcentral.
CUGGGCGUAAAGCGAGCGUAGGUGGCUUGAUAAGUCAGAUGUGUAAGCCCCGGGCUCAACCUGGGAACGGCAUCUGAUACUGUUAGGCUAGAGUAGGUGAGAGGAAGGUAGAAUUCCAGGUGUAGCGGUGAAAUGCGUAGAGAUCUGGAGGAAUACUGAUGGCGAAGGCAGCCUUCUGGCAUCAUACUGACACCGAGGUUCGAAAGCGUGGGUAGCAAACAGGAUUAGAUACCCUGGUAGUCCACGCCGUAAACGAUGUCUACUAGUCGUUGGGUCCCUUGAGGACUUAGUGACGCAGCUAACGCAAUAAGUAGACCGCCUGGGGAGUACGGCCGCAAGGUUAAAACUCAAAUGAAUUGACGGGGGCCCGCACAAGCGGUGGAGCAUGUGGUUUAAUUCGAUGCAACGCGAAGAACCUUACCUGGUCUUGACAUAUCUAGAAUCCUGCAGAGAUGCGGGAGUGCCUUCGGGAAUUAGAAUACAGGUGCUGCAUGGCUGUCGUCAGCUCGUGUCGUGAGAUGUUGGGUUAAGUCCCGCAACGAGCGCAACCCUUGUCCUUAGUUACCAGCGGUUUGGCCGGGAACUCUAAGGAUACUGCCAGUGACAAACUGGAGGAAGGCGGGGACGACGUCAAGUCAUCAUGGCCCUUACGACCAGGGCUACACACGUGCUACAAUGGUAGGUACAGAGGGCAGCUACACAGCGAUGUGAUGCGAAUCUCAAAAAGCCUAUCGUAGUCCAGAUUGGAGUCUGCAACUCGACUCCAUGAAGUAGGAAUCGCUAGUAAUCGCGGAUCAGAAUGC